AACGAACGCUGGCGGCAUGCCUAACACAUGCAAGUCGAACGAGACCUUCGGGUCUAGUGGCGCACGGGUGCGUAACACGUGGGAAUUUGCCUCGGGGUAUGGAAUAACUCAGGGAAACUUGAGCUAAUACCAUAUAAUGUCUUCGGACCAAAGAUUUAUCGCCCUGAGAUAAGCCCGCGUAGGAUUAGCUAGUUGGUGGGGUAAAGCUCACCAAGGCGACGAUCCUUAGCUGGUCUGAGAGGACGAUCAGCCACACUGGGACUGAGACACGGCCCAGACUCCUACGGGAGGCAGCAGUGGGGAAUAUUGGACAAUGGGCGGAAAGCCUGAUCCAGCAAUGCCGCGUGAGUGAUGAAGGCC
Molecule: ribosomal RNA, 360 nt
Filed under: uncultured bacterium
Lineage: Bacteria
Description: bacterial SSU rRNA
Rfam family: Bacterial small subunit ribosomal RNA
Source: RNAcentral